GGGAAGCUCACCAGAUAAGACAGCUGAAUGAUAGUCGGGCUGAAGACUCUACUUGACUAGCUGAGAGGAGGUGCAUGGCCGUCGUCAGUUCGUACUGUGAAGCAUCCUGUUAAGUCAGGCAACGAGCGAGACCCACGCCAACAGUUGCCAGCUCGUCCUCCGGGAUGGUGGGGGCACUGUUGGGACCGCCUCUGCUAAAGAGGAGGAAGGAAUGGGCAACGGUAGGUCAGCAUGCCCCGAAUUAUCUGGGCUACACGCGGGCUACAAUGGGUGGGACAAUGGGUAUCGACACCGAAAGGUGAAGGCAAUCUCCUAAACCCAUCCGUAGUUCGGAUUGUGGGCUGCAACUCGCCCACAUGAAGCUGGAAUCUGUAGUAAUCGUGUCUCAAAAUGGCACGGUGAAUAUGUCCCUGCUCCUU
Molecule: ribosomal RNA, 419 nt
Filed under: uncultured Methanomicrobiales archaeon
Lineage: Archaea; Methanobacteriati; Methanobacteriota; Methanomicrobia; Methanomicrobiales
Description: bacterial SSU rRNA
Rfam family: Archaeal small subunit ribosomal RNA
Source: RNAcentral